Molecule: ribosomal RNA, 428 nt
Filed under: Aureobasidium pullulans
Lineage: Eukaryota; Fungi; Ascomycota; Dothideomycetes; Dothideales; Saccotheciaceae
Description: partial large subunit ribosomal RNA
Rfam family: Eukaryotic large subunit ribosomal RNA
Source: RNAcentral
GGGUGAGAAUCCCGUAUGUGACUGGAAAUGUUAACCUAUGUAAAGCUCCUUCGACGAGUCGAGUUGUUUGGGAAUGCAGCUCUAAAUGGGAGGUAAAUUUCUUCUAAAGCUAAAUAUUGGCGAGAGACCGAUAGCGCACAAGUAGAGUGAUCGAAAGAUGAAAAGCACUUUGGAAAGAGAGUUAAAAAGCACGUGAAAUUGUUGAAAGGGAAGCGCUUGCAAUCAGACUUGUUUAAACUGUUCGGCCGGUCUUCUGACCGGUUUACUCAGUUUGGACAGGCCAGCAUCAGUUUCGGCGGCCGGAUAAAGGCUCUGGGAAUGUGGCCUUCACUUCGGUGAAGGUGUUAUAGCCCAGGGUGUAAUACGGCCAGCCGGGACUGAGGUCCGCGCUUCGGCUAGGAUGCUGGCGUAAUGGUUGUAAGCGACCC